AUUUUCAUAAAAAGUCAACGAAAAGUCAACAGUCAAUCCCAAAAAAGUCAACCGAGCCGCCGAUACGGUCAACUACCUUAAAACUUUAGAAUUUCACUAAACGGAUGUCAAAAAUGAACUUGGGGCGUCGAAAUUAAUCUAAGAGGGUUUCCGAGAAAAUUUUGAAAAAAGUCAACGCAAGGAAUACUCUAGGAAUAUUCCAGGAAUAUUUCGGAUCGAUUUUGGAAAUGGAUUGGGUUGAAUUCAGGUUAGGG
Molecule: long non-coding RNA, 254 nt
Filed under: Malus domestica (apple)
Lineage: Eukaryota; Viridiplantae; Streptophyta; Magnoliopsida; Rosales; Rosaceae
Description: long non-coding RNA (MDOM_LNC003968)
Source: RNAcentral